GUAGGGAAUAUUGCACAAUGGAGGAAACUCUGAUGCAGCGACGCCGCGUGAGUGAUGAAGGCCUUCGGGUCGUAAAGCUCUGUCGCAGGGGAAUAACACAAUGAAGGUACCCUGUAAGAAAGGAUCGGCUAACUUCGUGCCAGCAGCCGCGGUAAGACGAGGGAUCCUAGCGUUGUUCGGAAUCAUUGGGCGUAAAGCGGAUGUAGGUGGCUAUGUAAGUCAGAUGUGAAAGCCUGGGGCUCAACCCAGAAGUGCAUUUGAUACUGCGUAGCUUGAGUGUCGGAGAGGUUACUAGAAUUGUUGGUGUAGUGGUGAAAUACGUAGAUAUCAACAGGAAUACCGGAGGCGAAGGCGGGUAACUGGCCGAACACUGACACUGAGAUCCGAAAGCGUGGGGAUCAAACAGGAUUAGAAACCCCGGUAGUCC
RNAcentral lists this ribosomal RNA (427 nucleotides) under uncultured bacterium. RNAcentral's name for it is "partial 16S ribosomal RNA". It matches the Rfam family "Bacterial small subunit ribosomal RNA", at positions 354 to 796 of the family's 1533-position model. The record is from RNAcentral.